CUUCCUGUAUUUCCCAGCACUGCCCUAUCCUUAACUUCAGGAGCACUCACCUACCCUAGCUACAAGAUGAGCUGAAGAGACAGAAGGAAGCAGGGAAGGGCUGUGUGCUGAGCACUGGGGAGGAUCUUGUUGGUGAAAGGAGUCUGCACAUCCUCUUGGUGCACUGCCUUUCUGAUGAUGGGAUGAAUAUCCUGAUGUCCUCACCCAGCACACUCCAGCAGAGUGUCUGAGAUCAUGAGCAGAACCUGAAGGAGCUGACAAUUUGAAUCUUGAGGAUCUCUAAUUGUUAAUAAAAAGGUCUCAUGCCCUGGACCUCCUGAAUUCACAGUUUUCACAAUAUACAUGAUCUUUGCAUCAUCCAGGUUAAAUCUACCACAUCAACUGCAGCGAUCACAAACCGUAGUGCCUGAGGCCAGCUGUGAAUGCCACUGCAGCAAAGCUGUCACCACUGCUUAUCCAGACUGUGCAGAGGGAAAGCCUGCUUGGGAUGUGCAGCUCAGACAGUCUAAGUUGUCUUCUUGGCUUUAAUCUAUUUAAUUUUUCACAGUAAAAAUAUACAGUAGUCAUGAUCUCAUAUCUGAGUAGAAGAAAUGUGUAUUUUCACUCCAUUAAAAUAAAGGUAUGCAUGAAGUGCAGCAGUAGAAUAUCAAUGUGUGGAUCAGUCACAUUUUUCAUGAACUUUAGGUAAAAAAUUUAUGUUCAAGACCAAAAAAAAAUGCCCAUGGCUGCUUAUGUCAUCCAUCUACACCGAAAUUUCGUAUCUUCAGUAUUUUCUUCAAAGUGCUUAAAAAAAAUACUUAAUGUUGAAGGUGUAAGAGCUACUAAAAUUGCCUUCUUGAUGUGACUGCAAAAAUCCCUGUUUAUCUCCUACUGGAUCAUCUAUCCAUCCAAAACCAGCUUAUGCCAGUAAAGUUUCAUUUGAAUACACACUCCUCCUGUUGCUUAAGUGAGUUUCAAUUGGGCUGAUGGAAGGCAGCAGCUCUGUGAGUGCCAGCAGCCACAUCUAUUUUACUUUGCUCAAAUUGGAAAACAAGAAAAGAAAGAUCUGAGUAACUGAGCAAUUCAGAGAAACCUCAAUAUUGUCUUCAAAUGCAGUAUUGGUUGAUAACUUCAUACUUCCCUGGUUUUCUUCAGUGUUUGGUUUGAUGUUUUUCUUCUUUUCUGCAGAAAUGACCUUCUACAUUGAAAGUUGUCCAGCCUAAAAAUACGUGUCCUGCUUUUAUUUGAGAAACACCUGCUUCGCCCUGGUGCUUAACACCUUAUUUUUUUUUUUUUAAAAAAAAGAUAAAACACUCAAAGAACAAGAACAAUAACAACAAAAAGGAUUCACCACUUUUACUUGCAGGAGACAGAACAGCCUGACUUGCCAAUAUGAAAUCUGACUUUCUUCCUAAAACCAGUGGUCAAUGUUUUCAGUACAGCUAUAAAUGUUUGCUAGUGCAGCUCCAACAUCUGCUUUUGGCAGUUUACUUUUUUAUGUAAGCCCAUAUAAAUGGGCAAUGUAAAAUUAUUUUGUGACAUUAGUACCCAGUGACAGAAUACAAACACAGAGUGCUUGGUCCAGUGUUUAUCAGAGUAAAGUUCUCCUUGGAAUGGAAACCUGCAGCUUUUGAUUUGAGGGAUGAAAACUGUUGUGACAUACUGAAGCAAUCACUGGAAAGCCAUGUAGAAAUUGUCCAGAUCAUUCUCCUCACCCUCUUCCCACCUAAAUGUAAGUGCUUACAUUGUAAGUCUCUACACAUGAAGCUAUCCAUGAUUUUGAUUAUUUACAAGGUAGAAAAAGGCAGCCAAAUCACUAUUGUAUCUGUAAUUUUGUGCUUAGAUUCUUGGAUUUAAUGUGCUCUGCGUUUUUUUUUCCAUUCUUCAAUUGUAGAAGUUUCCUCUCCUCCUUUGUCCUCUAUUUCCAUUAUUUCACCUGCUUUUUUUUCCCCUGAGAACAACAUUGUGCUCCUGUGGAUAUUUGAAGCAAAUUAUUUGUCUUAUUUUCACAGUGUGAUUUAUCUUAUGUCUAAUAGGGAGAAAAAAUUUAUUCCUUCUUUGAUGUCUGUCUUGCCAAAACAUGCAGCUGAAGAACCUUUCCCCUCUCUUUUUCUGUACACCAACCAUCUCAUUGUGACUCUGUGCCUUUGUAAUACAUAACUUAAGUAACAUCAUUCCACUUCUGGUGACUAAUGGUUUCUAUUACUAGCUGUUUCUUAUUGGUGCCUUAUUUCUUUCUUGAUGUAGUUAUUCAGUUCUGUCUGAAACACCUUUCCCCACCGUAAAUGAAGGUCUUUUGAGGAGGUGAGGGAUGGGAAGAGCAGGUACCACCUUCAGCUUUACCUCUUCCACAGUCUGAAUUCCCAGGUCUGGCUGCCUUUUGUGGACUAAGGUAAUUAGCCAAAGACCUACCUCACUUUUCAUGGAGCAUCCUUAGUGUUCCCAGACAAGAGGUGCUGCCUCCUGCCCCUGUCCAUGCUGCCACUCCAUCCCUCAGCAGCUCCAGUCUGGGAGCCUCAUGUCUGGCUUCAGCUGCAGUGCACCAAAUCCAAUCAGUGGCUGUAGAUUUAAUUAGUUUGCACAAGAUGACUGCAUGAUGUGGUUAUAUCUUUUUCCUGUUCCCAGGCUGAUUAGGCCACAUGUGGAUUUUGUUGUCUUGGAGUUCAGGGCACUCUCUGCACCAGUCCUUAAUAAACAGAAGUAUUUAAGGAUAAAGUGCUGCUGUUUAAAUUCCUGCCAGUAUUUCAUCUUUAUUUUAAGUCUGUCUAACAAAGACUCUCAUGACUUCUGCAAAUGGAAGCAGCCAUGAACUCAUCUGAGGGAUCUGUGCAGAUCCAUCCAGAGCAGCCUGGAACUGUAGCAGAAACCCAGCCUUGACAGCAAGACACGAAUGCUUGAAUAAAAACAGGAAGUCUGUGGGGAAGGAUCAGUAAAAUAUUGAUUUAAUUAGUACUGCUAAUUUCUUAAACAAGCACACAAACUUUUUAAUGAAAAAGUGUACAGCUUUUCAGACUGCUCUUGGUAUAUUCUGAAUAAAAUCAAGCUACUGGCAUUCCCAGAACUCUAAUUUAUCUGCAGGCACUUGAAUGGUUUGAAAGCAGGCAAGGUUUUGGGUACUUCAGGAAAAGAGUGGUCUGAAGAUGAGCGUUGUAAAAUCAAAAAAAUCUAAAGGAUUUUCACAAAGUUAAUUAAUUAUAAGUUCUGAAGUGUGUUUUCAAGAAAUGCUUUACUGUAUUUGGUGAUGCUGUGGUUAUUGACAGCCUUGGUAAUGCAAUUAGGCAGCCAGUGAAGCACUGAAACUGAACAAUCAAAGGAAGUCACAUUAAAAAGCAGAAUCAACAGCCUGGUUUUUACCUAUGGUGCAUUCUGGGGACUGUGGUAAUGCUAAGCAGAUAUGGGUCAUUAUUGGAGAGCUGAAGAGAUAAUGGUCCAGCUUUAAAUCUGCAGAUUAGCUCAAUUAUGAUGAUGAAAAAGGGCAAUGUGAAAUCCUGCCAGGGGUGAGAGUAGGACUGUGUCAGAGCUGGUUCUCAGGUGUAGCUUUGUCCUGCCCUAGUUUGGUUUAGAUUGAAGAUUAUUGGAGAAUAUAGAUUGGAGUAGUUUAGAUUGUUCACAUAUUUUUGUUAAACUGACAUUAAUUUGACAUUAAACAGGUUUCUUGCAUUCAAAAUUAAUAUUUGAUUUUUGAGAGUUGAUUGUAAUAUGACCAAAAGAAAUUUAUGUGGGAAAUAAACAUAGCUCAAGAUAAAUUUAUUUUAAAACUUGAAUGAAUAUGCCCUUCCCUUUCCCUCCAUUUCCUUUAAAAAUUAUUUUUAUCAAUUCUUCAGUUGUAUUCAUGCAUUAAUCAGAGUAUCCAAAGAAUUAAUUGUUCUGCAAGAACAUGGAGACUGUGUGUAAAGUACUCCAUCAAUUUUGCUAUUACAUUACACAGAUGUACUCUGGCUACUAAUGAUGUUUUUUAGGGUUUUUUUGUGAUUUUGGCUCUUGAAUUACCAAUGUUUUUGUUGGUUAUUUUGUGAAUAGGUAAAAGGAUAUUGUCAUCUGAAAAAUUUCACUAAUUUUAUUUAUUUUUUUUCUUUUAUUUUUUUUUUAUUGUCUACCAUGUUAGACAAAAUGCUCUCUAUCUAAAAAUGACCCAACAAAUUAGAAAAUGAGAAAGCUUUAUUUUUUUUUCUCCCCCCAGGAAAUAAAAGCUUGACAUUUUUUAGUGUUGUAUCUUUGAAAACAAUCUGCCUGUCUGCAUAGUUGUGUUCUUUAUUUUUUUUUAGAUUUAAUUUAGGUACAACUUUUAGUUUAAUUUAGGUACAACUGACCUGUUGUCACUCAUUUUUCAAAGUUUGCAAACAUUUGAACUCCUUGAAGAAUCUGGCUUAGUGGAGACAUAUAUUUAUCACCUGACAUGACACAUGAAGAGCCCCAUGGAAGUAUAUUGACUGAGACUGCUUUGCAAAGUAGCUUGCUGGCUCUUUCAUCACAGGAGCAGCAAGGAGAUGUUAUCAAGGUGUUCUGUGGAAUAACUCAUUAAUAAAAUAUGUUUAAAACCGAAUGAGCCCUUCAGUGUCUCUGUAAAGGAGCAACUGGGACU
Molecule: long non-coding RNA, 4561 nt
Organism: Parus major (Great Tit)
Lineage: Eukaryota; Metazoa; Chordata; Aves; Passeriformes; Paridae
Exons: 4
Source: RefSeq, a predicted model, not a curated record